AUUGAACGCUGGCGGCAUGCUUUACACAUGCAAGUCGAGCGGCAGCGCGGGGGCAACCCUGGCGGCGAGCGGCGAACGGGUGAGUAAUGCAUCGGAACGUAUCCUCGAGUGGGGGAUAACCCAGCGAAAGUUGGGCUAAUACCGCAUGAGCUCUGAGGAGGAAAGCGGGGGACCUGCGAGGGCCUCGCGCUGGAGGAGCGGCCGAUGUCCGAUUAGCUAGUUGGUGGGGUAAAGGCUUACCAAGGCGACGAUCGGUAGCUGGUCUGAGAGGAUGAUCAGCCACACUGGGACUGAGACACGGCCCAGACUCCUACGGGAGGCAGCAGUGGGGAAUUUUGGACAAUGGGGGCAACCCUGAUCCAGCCAUGCCGCGUGAGUGAAGAAGGCCUUCGGGUUGUAAAGCUCUUUCGGACGGAACGAAAUGGGCGGGACUAAUACUCCGGUCUGAUGACGGUACCGUAAGAAGAAGCACCGGCUAACUACGUG
RNAcentral lists this ribosomal RNA (486 nucleotides) under uncultured bacterium. RNAcentral's name for it is "partial 16S ribosomal RNA". It matches the Rfam family "Bacterial small subunit ribosomal RNA", at positions 29 to 507 of the family's 1533-position model. The record is from RNAcentral.